UGGGGAAUUUUGGACAAUGGGGGAAACCCUGAUCCAGCCAUCCCGCGUGUGCGAUGAAGGCCUUCGGGUUGUAAAGCACUUGGCAGGAAAGAAACGUAAUGGGUUAAUACCCCGUGAAACUGACGGUACCUGCAGAAUAAGCACCGGCUAACUACGUGCCAGCAGCCGCGGUAAUACGUAGGGUGCAAGCGUUAAUCGGAAUUACUGGGCGUAAAGCGUGCGCAGGCGGUUCGGAAAGAAAGAUGUGAAAUCCCAGAGCGCAACUUUGGACCUGCAUUUUUAACUACCGGGCUAGAGUGUGUCAGAGGUAGGAAGAAUUCCUCGUGUAGCAGUGAAGUGCGUAGAUAUGCGGAGGAACACCGAUGGCGAAGGCAGCCUCCUGGGAUAACACUGACACUCAUGCACGAAAGCGUGGUGAGCAAACAGG
Molecule: ribosomal RNA, 427 nt
Filed under: Acidobacteriota bacterium
Lineage: Bacteria; Pseudomonadati; Acidobacteriota
Description: Acidobacteria bacterium partial 16S ribosomal RNA
Rfam family: Bacterial small subunit ribosomal RNA
Source: RNAcentral